RNAcentral lists this long non-coding RNA (321 nucleotides) under Sorghum bicolor (sorghum). Its description in RNAcentral is "long non-coding RNA (SBIC_LNC005071)". Lineage: Eukaryota; Viridiplantae; Streptophyta; Magnoliopsida; Poales; Poaceae. The record is from RNAcentral.
GUGUCUCUCAAAAUUGGGUAAGUCGGAGUCAAUGUUCAUGAUGCAUCUUGAAGAGAAACCGAGAUGGUCGCUCAGUUAUCUCCAAGACAACAUAAUGUCCUGUUUGAACAUCCGAAAAGCAAUUCCCCACUCAUAAUAUUGUAAAGUGCAAAGAAAUUCAAGGGUGAGAAGCCGGGAACCUAGCUCAGUUAUAUUCCAAAAAUUUGUCCACCCCACCAUCUGGAAAAUUAAAUCGAAUUCAGUAUCCAUACCUAUUUCUUGUAGCAAGAUAGGAUCAAGAGUAGGGGUGUGAAUAAAAUCUUUGUUCUUUAGCUACUGGUA